Molecule: ribosomal RNA, 1185 nt
Filed under: Triticum aestivum (bread wheat)
Lineage: Eukaryota; Viridiplantae; Streptophyta; Magnoliopsida; Poales; Poaceae
Description: partial small subunit ribosomal RNA
Source: RNAcentral
CCCCCACCACCACCAUUCCUCCUCUCCGGCCCCUCCAAUCCAAUCCCGCCGAAUCCACUCCUCCUCCUCGUCGUCCCCCUCCCGCGGCCUCGCCUCGAUCCGGAAGGAAGGAAGGAAUCUCCCUCCAAUUCCGCGCCCAACUCCCCAGCUUGGGGGCAUUUCGGAAUCCUCCUCCUUCGAGGCGUCUGUCUCGGCCCCAAAGAUCCAAUUUGGUUGGAUUUCUGCUCCCGAGCCGGAGCCCGGCCGGAGGCGCACGACCUUCAGGAGUUGAUGCCACCCGGCGAUGGAUCGCCGAGCCUUCAGGAGUAACUCGUGCAACAGCAAGAACCCGGCGCCUCCCUCCUCGCCCUCGGCGGCGGCGUCGGCGGCGGUGUACCGGACGUCCUCGGCGCCGGUGGGGGGCUCCAAGGACAACGUCGGCGAGCGCAAGGCGCUGCUGCCCCGGCGCCCCGAGGGCGGCACGGCCCGCAAGGCCUACAAGGGGCCCAAGCGGCGGGUGCAGUGGAAGGACACCCACGGGAAGAAGCUCGCCGAGGUCUUGGAAUUCCAGCCUAGUGAUUCAAGUGACUCGGAUGAUGAUUAUUUGGAUACUUGCAUAUGCUCAGUCAUGUAAAUAUCGCAGGGCUGAAUCUCCGGUGCAUCUUGCGCAGGUGGAGAGUAUGAGUGUUUAGCAAGAGCUGUAUCUUAAUGUUAUGCAUUGGCCUAACAGUCUUGUAUAGAAAAAAGGUUCACUCCAACAGGCUCAAACUAUCUCAUGUAGUGCAAGUCAGGGCUGCGACCUAGCAAGGACUGGCGACGACGAGCCCAUAUAAUCUGUUGAGUGCGCAAGCAGCUGGAAGUUGCGUCAGAAUUUUGAGAUAUCGCCACACAUCAGACUAGAAAUGGAAAAAAGUGACCCGCGGCGUUCGCAGCAGCAGCCUUGCUCUUAUGUGUGAUAAGCAAAAUGCUCUUAGAAUCAGACACGGGCAUUUUUGCGGGGCUGGAAUUGCGACCGAUUUUUUGUCAAUAGUAUCUGCCUCUUGGCAUGUUAACUAACUAGCUGAUGUUCCUGUCUGUCAGUCUGAUGCUGUCAUCGCACGCUUAACAUUAUUUUUGCAUGAAUUGAUGCCCAAUGGAUGGUGUGAUGGCAAAGUGCAAGGUUUGUAACAUUCUUGUGCCCUGUUGGGCAGUUCACUGUCAUCAAAA